RNAcentral lists this ribosomal RNA (253 nucleotides) under uncultured bacterium. RNAcentral's name for it is "partial 16S ribosomal RNA". It matches the Rfam family "Bacterial small subunit ribosomal RNA", at positions 524 to 776 of the family's 1533-position model. The record is from RNAcentral.
GACGAAGGAUGCAAGCGUUAUCCGGGUUCAUUGGGUUUAAAGGGAGCGUAGGUGGCCUGCUAAGUCAGUGGUGAAAUCUUCUCGCUUAACGAGAAAACUGCCAUUGAUACUGGUGGGCUUGAGUACAGAUGCCGUUGGCGGAAUAUGACAUGUAGUGGUGAAAUACAUAGAGAUGUCAUAGAACACCGAUUGCGAAGGCAGCUAACGAAACUGUAACUGACACUGAGGCUCGAAAGUGCGGGGAUCAAACAGG